GCGGGAAAGCGGAAGCCGGGAAUGGAAAGCCCGGUGCAAGCGGGGUACCAGUCACUUCGGCAAAUCCGGGUGGCAAUGGGAAGCCGUGAUGCGGAGCGAAAUAAAGUAGCGAAGUCCGUGAGCCAUGCGUCAAGAAAAGCCGCUAUCGUUUAUACCGUACCCGUACCGUAAACCGACACAGGUGGAUGAGGAGAGAAUCCUAAGGCCGGCGGAAGAAGCAUUGUCAAGGAACUCGGCAAAAUGGCCCCGUAACUUAGGGAUAAGGGGUGCCUGGGAAACCAGGCCGCAGAGAAUAGGCUCAAGCAACUGUUUAGCAAAAACACAGGUCUAUGCGAAACCGAAAGGUGAGGUAUAUGGGCUGACGCCUGCCCGGUGCUGGAAGGUUAAGAGGAGAGGUUAGCGCAAGCGAAGCUUUGAAUUUAAGCCCCAGUAAACGGCGGCCGUGACUAUAACGGUCCUAAGGUAGCGAAAUUCCUUGUCGGGUAAGUUCCGACCCGCACGAAAGGCGUAAUGAUUUGAGCGCUGUCUCGACAAUGCAUCCGGUGAAAUUGAAGUACCAGUGAAGAUGCUGGUUACCUGCGCCAGGACGGAAAGACCCCAUGGAGCUUUACUCCAGUUUGGUACUGGGACUCGGUAUUGCAUGUACAGGAUAGGUGGGAGGCUAGGAGACAGUAACGCCAGUUAUUGUGGAGCCGCUGUUGGGAUACCACCCUUGCAGUAUUGGGUUUCUAACCAGCCGUCGUGACCCGGCGGUGGGACAAUGCCAGACGGGGAGUUUGACUGGGGCGGUCGCCUCCGAAAGGGUAUCGGAGGCGCCCAAAGGUUCCCUCAGAAUGGACGGAAACCAUUCGAAGAGUGCAAAGGCAGAAGGGAGCUUGACUGCGACACCGACGGGUGGAGCAGGUACGAAAGUAGGGCUUAGUGAUCCGGUGGUAUUAAGUGGGAAUGCCAUCGCUCAACGGAUAAAAGCUACCCUGGGAUAACAGGCUUAUCACUCCCAAGAGUUCACAUCGACGGAGUGGUUUGGCACCUCGAUGUCGGCUCAUCGCAUCCUGGGGCUGUAGUAGGUCCCAAGGGUUGGGCUGUUCGCCCAUUAAAGCGGUACGCGAGCUGGGUUCAGAACGUCGUGAGACAGUUCGGUCCCUAUCCGGCGUGGGCGUAGGAUAUCUGAGAGGAGCUGUCCUUAGUACGAGAGGACCGGGAUGGACGGGCCGCUGGUGCAUCGGUUAGACUGCCAAGUCUACGGCCGAGUAGCCAAGCCCGGAAGGGAUAAACGCUGAAGGCAUCUAAGCGUGAAGCCCCCCUUAAGAUGAGAUAUCCCAUUCGAAAGAAGUAAACCCCCUUGAAGACGACGAGGUAGAUAGGGCAGAGGUGGAAGUGUGGCAACACAUGGAGCUGACUGUUACUAAUCGGGUGAGGGCUUGACC
RNAcentral lists this ribosomal RNA (1427 nucleotides) under metagenome. RNAcentral describes it as "bacterial LSU rRNA". It matches the Rfam family "Bacterial large subunit ribosomal RNA", at positions 1476 to 2925 of the family's 2925-position model. The record is from RNAcentral.